This 433-nucleotide ribosomal RNA is filed under the name uncultured bacterium. Its description in RNAcentral is "partial 16S ribosomal RNA". It matches the Rfam family "Bacterial small subunit ribosomal RNA", at positions 29 to 507 of the family's 1533-position model. The record is from RNAcentral.
AACGAACGCUGGCGGCAUGCCUAACACAUGCAAGUCGAACGAGACCUUCGGGUCUAGUGGCGCACGGGUGCGUAACGCGUGGGAACCUGCCCUUAGGUUCGGAAUAACUCCCCGAAAGGGGUGCUAAUACCGGAUAAUGUCUUCGGACCAAAGAUUUAUCGCCUUUGGAUGGGCCCGCGUUGGUUUAGCUAGUUGGUAGGGUAAAAGCCUACCAAGGCGACGAUCCAUAGCUGGUCUGAGAGGAUGAUCAGCCACACUGGGACUGAGACACGGCCCAGACUCCUACGGGAGGAAGCAGUGGGGAAUAUUGGACAAUGGGCGAAAGCCUGAUCCAGCAAUGCCGCGUGAGUGAUGAAGGCCUUAGGGUUGUAAAGCUCUUUUACCCGGGAUGAUAAUGACAGUACCGGGAGAAUAAGCUCCGGCUAACUCCGUG